Manis javanica (Malayan pangolin) is the source of this 447-nucleotide long non-coding RNA. RefSeq lists it as uncharacterized. NCBI's taxonomy places the organism in Eukaryota, Metazoa, Chordata, Mammalia, Pholidota, Manidae. The record is from RefSeq and is a predicted model, not a curated record.
GCAUGGCUGCAGGACAGCAGAGGCUGAGAAGGUGGAAGCACCGAGGACAGAGACUGAGAUGGCUGCAGGGCAGAGAGGCCCAGAAGCAGAGAUUGCCUUGCUGCAGUGGACUCGCUCUGAGAAAGACCUGCUAGGGGAGUGUUGCAACUGGAUGAAAGAAGCUGCUAACUUCGAAGGAGACCAAUAGAAGUAGACAUGGAAUAUUCCUGGCGCAAAGAAUCCACCAGACUUACUGAGGAAGAGGAAAAUACUGCGUGAAGACUGAGACACACAGGGAGAAGAUGGCCAUGUGAAGGCGGCGGUCGACUGGAGUUAUGCCGCCACGAGUCAAGGACAGCUGGGGUUAACAGAAGCCAGAAGAGGCGAGGAAGCACUCCCCUCUAGGUGCCUCGGAGGGGGCACGACCCUGCUGACACCUUGCCUUUGGACUUCGAGCUCCCAGAACUG